UACGAGUGCCCCGAGCGUUAUCCGGAAUCAUUGGGCGUAAAGGGUGUGUAGGUGGUAGUGUUAGUCAAUUAUUAAAACCCGGGGCUUAACCUCGGAUCUGUGUUUGAAACGGCACAACUAGAGGAUGGCAGGGAUGUAUGGAACUCAUGGAGUAGGGGUGAAAUCCGUUGAUAUCAUGGGGAACACCAAAAGCGAAGGCAGUACAUUGGGCUACUUUUGACACUGAAACACGAAAGCGUGGGUAGCGAAUGGG
Molecule: ribosomal RNA, 253 nt
Filed under: uncultured bacterium
Lineage: Bacteria
Description: partial 16S ribosomal RNA
Rfam family: Bacterial small subunit ribosomal RNA
Source: RNAcentral